This 105-nucleotide ribosomal RNA is filed under the name Prevotellaceae bacterium. RNAcentral's name for it is "partial 16S ribosomal RNA". It matches the Rfam family "Bacterial small subunit ribosomal RNA", at positions 1 to 102 of the family's 1533-position model. The record is from RNAcentral. Lineage: Bacteria; Pseudomonadati; Bacteroidota; Bacteroidia; Bacteroidales; Prevotellaceae.
ACCAUGAAGAGUUUGAUCCUGGCUCAGGAUGAACGCUAGCGGCAGGCUUAACACAUGCAAGUCGAGGGGCAGCGGGGAUAGCAAUAUCUGCCGGCGACCGGCGCA